GCACCGGUGGUUCAGUGGUGGAGUGCUCGCUUGCCACGCGGGCGACUAGGGUUCGAUUCCCGGUAGGUACU
RNAcentral lists this transfer RNA (71 nucleotides) under Rodentolepis nana. RNAcentral's name for it is "Hymenolepis nana tRNA". It matches the Rfam family "tRNA". From Rfam's summary of the family: Transfer RNA (tRNA) molecules are approximately 80 nucleotides in length. Their secondary structure includes four short double-helical elements and three loops (D, anti-codon, and T loops). Lineage: Eukaryota; Metazoa; Platyhelminthes; Cestoda; Cyclophyllidea; Hymenolepididae. The record is from Rfam by way of RNAcentral.